Ribosomal RNA from Sinocyclocheilus anshuiensis, 93 nucleotides. The record is from Ensembl. Lineage: Eukaryota; Metazoa; Chordata; Actinopteri; Cypriniformes; Cyprinidae.
AACAGCAACAAUUGCCCACUGAAGCUAAGCAGGGUUGAGCCUGGUCAGCACCUGGAUAGGAGACCUCCUGGGAAAACUAGGUUGCUGCUGGAA